GCUGGACCCAGUGGCAUGUACCUGUAGUCCCAGCUACUUGGGAGGCUGAGUCAGGAGGAUUACUUGAGGCCAGGAGUUCAAGGCUGCAGUGUGCUAUGAUCAUACCCCUGAAUAGCCACUGUACUCUAGCCUGGGCAACAAAGCAAGACCCCUUCUCUU
Unclassified non-coding RNA from Macaca fascicularis (crab-eating macaque), 159 nucleotides. It matches the Rfam family "Metazoan signal recognition particle RNA". From Rfam's summary of the family: The signal recognition particle (SRP) is a universally conserved ribonucleoprotein. NCBI's taxonomy places the organism in Eukaryota, Metazoa, Chordata, Mammalia, Primates, Cercopithecidae. The record is from Ensembl.